This 347-nucleotide ribosomal RNA is filed under the name uncultured Leptolinea sp. RNAcentral describes it as "bacterial SSU rRNA". It matches the Rfam family "Bacterial small subunit ribosomal RNA", at positions 1021 to 1382 of the family's 1533-position model. The record is from RNAcentral. Lineage: Bacteria; Bacillati; Chloroflexota; Anaerolineae; Anaerolineales; Anaerolineaceae.
UUCGGGAGCUUGCACAGGUGCUGCAUGGCUGUCGUCAGCUCGUGUCGUGAGAUGUUCGGUUAAGUCCGCUAACGAGCGCAACCCUCGCUGUGUGUUAUAUGUGUCACACGGGACUGCCGGUCUUAAGCCGGAGGAAGGUGGGGAUGAUGUCAAGUCAGCAUGGCCUUUAUAUCCUGGGCUACACACACGCUACAAUGGCCAACACAAUAGGUUGCUAAGCCGCGAGGUGGCGCCAAUCCAUAAAGUUGGUCUCAGUUCAGAUUGUAGGCUGCAACCCGCCUGCAUGAAGAUGGAGUUGCUAGUAACCGCAGGUCAGCUAUACUGCGGUGAAUACGUUCCCGGGGCUU